Molecule: unclassified non-coding RNA, 335 nt
Filed under: soil metagenome
Description: partial contains 5.8S ribosomal RNA, internal transcribed spacer 2, and large subunit ribosomal RNA
Rfam family: 5.8S ribosomal RNA (bases 1-120)
Source: RNAcentral
GAUGAAGAACGCAGCGAAAUGCGAUAAGUAAUGUGAAUUGCAGAAUUCAGUGAAUCAUCGAAUCUUUGAACGCACAUUGCGCCCGCCAGUAUUCUGGCGGGCAUGCCUGUUCGAGCGUCAUUUCAACCAUCAAGCCCCCGGCUUGUGUUGGGGACCUGCGGCUGCCGCAGGCCCUGAAAACCAGUGGCGGGCUCGCUAGUCACUCCGAGCGUAGUAAUACAUCUCGCUCAGGGCGUGCUGCGGGUUCCGGCCGUUAAAAAGCCUUAUUUACCCAAGGUUGACCUCGGAUCAGGUAGGAAGACCCGCUGAACUUAAGCAUAUCAAUAAGCGGAUGA